Molecule: long non-coding RNA, 326 nt
Filed under: Fukomys damarensis (Damara mole-rat)
Lineage: Eukaryota; Metazoa; Chordata; Mammalia; Rodentia; Bathyergidae
Description: lncRNA (ENSFDAG00000023625.1)
Source: RNAcentral
CUGCUUUUGCUGACUUGGGUGAUGGUGGGCUUAUUGCAUGGCUGUGUUCUGCUUAUUUUUCCACAGGUUGCAGUCCGAAGAGAGGGCAGACUGACUGAUAACCAUUCCUUUUCAGACAUCUGGAUGCAGGCUGGGAUGGCUGGCAUAUGGCUGGGGUGAGGUCUACCACACUGCAGGACCAAUUGAACCUAAACAGUCUGCUGGAUGCAGCCUGGUAUGAUUGUUAGCUCAUUGCAUGAGGAUCUGCUGCUCAUAGUUCUGCUGGAUGAAGGACGAGCCGAGAUUGUUCUCACUAUGUGACGAACAGGUAGAAAAUUGAUCACGGC